Molecule: ribosomal RNA, 450 nt
Filed under: uncultured bacterium
Lineage: Bacteria
Description: partial 16S ribosomal RNA
Rfam family: Bacterial small subunit ribosomal RNA
Source: RNAcentral
GUGGGGAAUCUUCCGCAAUGGACGAAAGUCUGACGGAGCAACGCCGCGUGAGUGAUGAAGGUCUUCGGAUUGUAAAGCUCUGUUAAUCGGGACGAAAGAGCCUAGUGUGAAUAAUGCUAGGAAGUGACGGUACCGGAAUAGAAAGCCACGGCUAACUACGUGCCAGCAGCCGCGGUAAUACGUAGGUGGCAAGCGUUGUCCGGAAUUAUUGGGCGUAAAGCGCGCGCAGGCGGAUCUGCCAGUCUGUCUUAAAAGUUCGGGGCUUAACCCCGUGAUGGGAUGGAAACUACAGAUCUAGAGUAUCGGAGAGGAAAGUGGAAUUCCUAGUGUAGCGGUGAAAUGCGUAGAUAUUAGGAAGAACACCAGUGGCGAAGGCGACUUUCUGGACGAAAACUGACGCUGAGGCGCGAAAGCCAGGGGAGCGAACGGGAUUAGAAACCCUAGUAGUCC